RNAcentral lists this ribosomal RNA (501 nucleotides) under uncultured soil bacterium. RNAcentral's name for it is "bacterial SSU rRNA". It matches the Rfam family "Bacterial small subunit ribosomal RNA", at positions 34 to 540 of the family's 1533-position model. The record is from RNAcentral.
AGAACGAACGCUGGCGGCAGGCUUAACACAUGCAAGUCGAACGGUUGUAGCAAUACAGCAGUGGCAGACGGGUGAGUAACACGUGGGAACCUUCCUAGGGGUACGGAACAACUCAGGGAAACUUGAGCUAAUACCGUAUACGUCCGUGAGGAGAAAGAUUUAUCGCCCCUAGACGGGCCCGCGUAGGAUUAGGUAGUUGGUGAGGUAACGGCUCACCAAGCCUACGAUCCUUAGCUGAUCUGAGAGGAUGAUCAGCCACACUGGGACUGAGACACGGCCCAGACUCCUACGGGAGGCAGCAGUGGGGAAUCUUGGACAAUGGGCGCAAGCCUGAUCCAGCCAUGCCGCGUGAGUGAAGAAGGCCUCGGUUGUAAAGACGUCUUUACCUAGGACGAGUAAUAGACGUACGUACGAGAAGUAAGACUACCGGCAAACGUUACGUGUCCGACGCACGCCGCGGUAAGUACGUUCGAGCGGACGUGGCGAAGGACGGCGACUAGA